Molecule: ribosomal RNA, 449 nt
Filed under: uncultured bacterium
Lineage: Bacteria
Description: partial 16S ribosomal RNA
Rfam family: Bacterial small subunit ribosomal RNA
Source: RNAcentral
AGCGAACGCUGGCGGCAGGCUUAACACAUGCAAGUCGAACGCAUCCUUCGGGGUGAGUGGCGGACGGGUGAGUAACACGUGGGAACGUACCCUUUGGUUCGGGACAACUCUGGGAAACUGGAGCUAAUACCGGAUACGCCCCUUUGGGGCAGGGGUUACUGACGCGGGAUCGGCCCGCGUCUGAUUAGCUAGUUGGUGGGGUAACGGCCUACCAAGGCGACGAUCAGUAGCUGGUCUGAGAGGAUGAUCAGCCACGCUGGGACUGAGAUACGGCCCAGACUCCUACGGGAGGCAGCAGGUGGGAAUAUUGGAGAAUGGGCGCAAGCCUGAACCAGCCAUGCCGCGUGAUUGAUGAAGGGCGGAGGGUUGUAAAGCUCUUUUAUCGGUGACGAUGAUGGCGGUACCGGAGGAAUAAGCCCCGGCUAACUUCGUGCCAGCCGCCGCCGUAA